CUUCACCGACCCCAGCAGGAGCGGCCUGCCAUCGGGCCGCUCCUGCCCGUAGGUCGCCAGCAGCGCCUGCGCCUC
Molecule: non-coding RNA, 75 nt
Organism: Streptomyces sp.
Lineage: Bacteria; Bacillati; Actinomycetota; Actinomycetes; Kitasatosporales; Streptomycetaceae
Rfam family: ASpks TB sRNA
Source: Rfam